ACGUAGGGGGCGAGCGUUGUCCGGAAUCACUGGGCGUAAAGGGCGUCUAGGCGGCUUGGUAAGCGGGGCGUGAAAUCCCGGGGCUCAACUCCGGAACGCCGUCCCGAACUGCCAGGCUUGAGUGCGGGAGAGGGCAGUGGAAUUCCCGGUGUAGCGGUGAAAUGCAUAGAUAUCGGGAGGAACACCAGUGGCGAAGGCGGCUGCCUGGACCGUUACUGACGCUGAAGCGCGAAAGCCAGGGGAGCGAACGG
This 251-nucleotide ribosomal RNA is filed under the name uncultured prokaryote. RNAcentral's name for it is "partial 16S rRNA". It matches the Rfam family "Bacterial small subunit ribosomal RNA", at positions 525 to 775 of the family's 1533-position model. The record is from RNAcentral.